Molecule: long non-coding RNA, 1204 nt
Filed under: Homo sapiens (human)
Lineage: Eukaryota; Metazoa; Chordata; Mammalia; Primates; Hominidae
Description: HSALNT0287191
Source: RNAcentral
UCCAGAGGCAGCUUCCUGAACAAAUACUUGAGGUCCUCUGUAGGCUUCCCGGAGUAGACUGUUUCCUCUGAAAAGGCCUGUUCAUCAGGAGAAGCAAAAGGUUUUAUUCUAGAGACAUGGACUCAAGUCGGAAGUCCUUCCAACGUUAUGACUGUUGGAGUGGACAAGAUAACCUGGGAGUGGUUACCUGGAGCCCUGGUGUCUUUGGAAGGACCAGAUACCCCAUAGCUUUUCUGCAGAAGCAGAUAACUGUUUAGACACAAGUUUCUCCAAAAAAAAUCCUGGUGGAAUUUUAAUUUGGAUUAUGUUAAAUUUAUAGAUUAAUACAUGGAGAAUCAAUAUCUUUAUGCUAUUGAGUCUUCCUAUCUAAAAUCAAGAUUUCAAAUGACUUCCACACAUUAUUUUACUUGAUCUUUACAACAGACAACAGUCUUAUAAGGUGAUACCUAAAAUUGCUGCAGCAUCUUCCUCCCAGGCUGAGGAUGAAGCCAGUUUCAAAGAUGACGGAGCAGUGAUAGAGACUACAUGGAUCCUUGAUAUUGUUGAGUCAUUAUUGAACCAAUUCUGGAGCCUACCUUACCUCUGGACUUUAUUCCUUAAAUGAUUUUGAGUUGGAGUUUCUAUUACAUAUAGCUGAAAGCUUCCUAAUUUCCUUUGUCUACUCUCCUUUCCUCUAAGUACUUCUCAAUUUCCAAAAUUAUCUUUUGAGUUUACCUGUUUGGGGCUUUAUUGUCUAUCUAAAUGUAAGUUUUACAAGACUUUAUUCUGUCUACUACAGUAUCUACAAAACCAAAAACAGUGCCCAGCUCAUAGUAAAUGUUCAAUAAGUAUUUGUUGAAUUAGAUGAAUGAAUAAACAAAGUGUGGUGUUAACAGUGAGUGAGGCUGGCAAUGAGUCCUCACUUUUAUUAUGUUUUGCACUCUCAAAUAUGUACACUACAGAAAAGAGGCCAUUUCAGUGAAAAUAUUCACCUGGUUAUUGUGAUUGCUAUGUUGAAGCAUUGUUAUUGCAGACAUUUCUUCAUUCUACUCAGGACCAAGGGCCCACUGAUUUCCUCCUGCCAACAAAGGCCAGGAUGCUCUGGGGACUGAAUGUGCAAGCCCAAAGGUUGUAUUGUCUUGUUUCCAUAUAUAGUAUUAAAUUAUGGGCUAUCCAACAGUUAAAGAAGCUAGACCUCUUGGUAGGGAAAAGAAAUAAAACAUUU